This 471-nucleotide ribosomal RNA is filed under the name uncultured bacterium. Its description in RNAcentral is "SSU rRNA". It matches the Rfam family "Bacterial small subunit ribosomal RNA", at positions 26 to 518 of the family's 1533-position model. The record is from RNAcentral.
AGGACGAACGCUGGCGGCGUGCUUAACACAUGCAAGUCGAGCGGAAAGGCCCUUCGGGGUACUCGAGCGGCGAACGGGUGAGUAACACGUGAGCAACCUGCCCUUAGCUCCGGGAUAGCUCCGGGAAACCGGAAUUAAUACCAGAUAUUACUACGGCCGACAUCAGCUGUGGUGGAAAGAAUUUCGGCUAGGGAUGAGCUCGCGGCCUAUCAGCUUGUGGUGGGGUAAAGGCCCACAAGGCGACGACGGGUAGCCGGCCUGAGAGGGCGACCGGCCACACUGGGACUGAGACACGGCCCAGACUCCUACGGGAGGCAGCAGUGGGGAAUAUUGCGCAAUGGGCGAAAGCCUGACGCAGCGACGCCGCGUGCGGGAUGAAGGCCUUCGGGUUGUAACCGCUUUCAGCAGGGACGAAGCGAAAGUGACGGUACCUGCAGAAGAAGCGCCGGCUAACUACGUGCCAGCAGCCGC